Molecule: small nucleolar RNA, 102 nt
Organism: Impatiens glandulifera
Lineage: Eukaryota; Viridiplantae; Streptophyta; Magnoliopsida; Ericales; Balsaminaceae
Product: small nucleolar RNA R32/R81/Z41
Exons: 1
Source: RefSeq, a predicted model, not a curated record
UGAAGAACAUGAUGAAAGAAACGAUUGUGACAGUGAUGAGAUUCAUCAUUCUGUGAUCAAGAAAGUUUCUGAACUAAUUGCUACGUUCUUUCUGAUUCUUUC